Molecule: non-coding RNA, 89 nt
Organism: Podarcis lilfordi (Lilford's wall lizard)
Lineage: Eukaryota; Metazoa; Chordata; Lepidosauria; Squamata; Lacertidae
Source: the annotation of a GenBank genome assembly
AGUUCAAUAGUUUCAACAGGUCUACACAGUUGGAAGAGCAUGAGACUCUUGACCUCAGGGUUGUGGGUUCAAGGCCCCACGUUGGGCAA